UAAUAUUUCUCUCUGGAGUCUGACUUUUGU
This 30-nucleotide non-coding RNA is filed under the name Rattus norvegicus (Norway rat). The record is from RNAcentral. Lineage: Eukaryota; Metazoa; Chordata; Mammalia; Rodentia; Muridae.